GAGCCCAGAGCUGAGGGUCGUCACGGGCUCACGGGACAGAGCCCCGAGUCCCCAAUUGCUCCAGUUUCCUGCUCCCCGGCGCUGACGCCGCCGGCUCUCCGCUCACUCAGGUGGUCUCUUCAGCGUUCCAUCGGAUCGCUGCAGUCUCCCCGCCGGUCGUUUCCCUAUCUCCAUCGACGGCCAGCCCUCCCUGUCCGGCGGCUCGUGGACUUUUGGCUCUGAUUUCCGGUGGAUCCUCCUCGUCGGCGCCUCCACCCGAGGAUGCCGUUGUACUGAUUCAGAGUUCCAAUGGACAACCUUGAGAACACGUCAGAGGACAAAGGCUUAAAUUUUCUGUGCAAUCUAUCUGACGUAGAGGUCGUACAUAGCAUGACACAGCUCUUACUUCAUGCAUUGGCCACAGCUUCAGUGGACAGCACCACUGGUGAUAUGUUCAAGAGCCCAGCAUCUGUAGCUAUUGGCAUGAAGACCGAACUAUCAGGGUACAUGAGUCAGAGAUCUGAAACACUUGUUCGCCAAUCUAUGGAUGGAGGCGAGGAUCAUUCAGAUCAAUUAACAAAAGCAUCCUCCAGGCCGACGGAGUUCCUGUCAGACUUGAUCGAUGAGUUUGUGACCUCAAAAAGGGGCAUGCUGAGCCAUGUCUCUGGGCUUUUUUCUAGCGAAAGCCGCCUGAACAAAAUUAAAGACUUCAUGCAAAAGUUAGAGACGGAUAACUCGUGGGCCCAGGAUGAAAGGAAGGCGACUGCAUGGGCUAUUCUGGAGAACAUAGACAGUAAAGGCAUUUUCCAUUGCCCCGAGAGAUUUGACAUGCCAGAUAAGCUAGCUGAGCACACAAGUCAAUGCAAAUUUAGGAUACUGAACUGCACAAAUGAUGGAUGUGUAGCUUCUUUCUGUGCUAUUCAUACCGAAAAGCAUGACGCUGUCUGCCCAUUCAAGCUCCUACCAUGCGAGCAGCUGUGUGAACAACAUGUUAUGCGGUCUGAGAUGGACAAACAUUGUGGAACAGUUUGCCCUAUGAAGCUUACCAACUGCCCGUUUUUUAGAAUUGGCUGUGAAACAGCCUUUCCACAGUGUUCUCUUGAUAACCAUUGUUCGCGGUUUCUACAAACCCAUUUGAUGUAUGUCGUCAAGGUGAUUACAAGACAGGGUGAUUGUGUUAAUGAUAUGGAUCAACGGCUGCAACUCCUUGAGAAGGUGCAAUCAUUGAACGAACUCGCUGGGGCUUUAGAUGUCAAGGCCCUCACUCUGAUUACAAAGGAACAAGAAUCAAAGAUAAAUAAACUCGAACGGGAUCUCAAAGCCCAAGAAACAAGGAUGAAGAAACUUGAGAAUGAUCUUAGGUCACGGAAAUAAUGAUUGCUGUCAUGUGCUCAUCAUUGCAGCCUUACUGGAAACCAGGAGUAUCUUUUUUCCUUCUCAACAGUCAACACUUUGUCGGAAGCAUUUUGUGUGCAAGGGUGGACCUUUGUAGGUCGUUUUAACAGCAAGUUUUCAUGGAGGACAUGUUGCAACAGUAUCAUCAUUGGCUUGGCUCUUCGACGAAGCUUUCAGGUUACAGCGCAAGCAGCCUCCAAAUUCUGCAAAUAUGUCCUGUAUGUAUGCGUACACAGAAAUAUGCAGGUGGUUUUCUUGUGCAGUUCGUUAUGCUGAAGAUGUCACCACAAUAUCUUCCCUAUUUGGCCCAUUUGACUCAGCUUUGACGGUAUAAUCACUGGCAGCCUCCAAAAUCUUGCAAACUUCUCUCCUGUACUGCACCAGAAGGUCCAGAUCAUGUUAGGAAGACAUUGUCAAAUGCUGUUUGUGGAACAUCAAAGUACAGUUUCCAUUUACCUAUAUCGUUUCUAUUGUUUACAUUAAUUGAGGGUUGUGUGGUGCAGAUCAACUUGGAGUCAUUUUAUCAUCUUCUUGUCAUAUUCCUAAUCAGUGAUGUCUAAGAACCAAGAGAUGUGAAUUAUCAGUACUCCAUCUUGCCAGCAUGGAGACCUUAAAAUGAACAAGAUGGUUUCUUUUGUCGUUUGAGAAAGAAGCAUGCUGCAAUUCAGUUACCGCAGUGUCUGGAGGACACAAAGGACUGUGGCAUAGUGACCUGAAAGUUACUUCACGAACAUUUCCACCGUACUCAUCUGAGACAUGCCACUUACUCAGCUGGAGAAAUUUAGAACAUUUGACUGUUACGUCGUCUAAUGCUAGCAGCAACCAACUUGGUAAAAAAAAUUGAGACCAUGAAAAGGAUAUGCCAAUAGCGCAAUUGACAAAAUACACCUUUAAAUCUGUAUCUUUUCGUGUAUUUCGGUACUGCUGGAAAAACAUUGCAUCGUCACCUAGUAUCACAGUGAAAAAAUUCUCAGGUGUACCAGGGAAGGUAUUCUGAAAAAUCAUACCAUGUUGAAAAUUAGGGAAACGAAAAGUAAAUAUGCAUAUUCAAAAAUAGAAAAUUAACUGGGAUGCUCACACUGGUUAUGUCUACAAGAACAUGUUCAUUGAUGAAAGGUUGAAAUGUGAUAGUCAGUCCAAUUCUUCUGUCUUCUGUCUUUAUGUUGUCUGUUCUGCUGCUAAUAACAUUCAUACUCUCUCCUUUAAGAAGCAAAUGUGAACUCACCUGCUUGUACAAGUACAGGUUGUCAGGUGGUUUCCCCAGAAGCAAAUGAAAAGACCAAACAAGAUUACUUUCUGAAUACCUGCUUUUCGGCUUCCAAUGUUGCUCGGUAACUCUGCAGCGCCGUCUCUAGAGCUCGAAAUGUACGGUUUCUGUUCCAGAAGGAUGUGAACUUGUACCUUACGCUUCCUGAACCAUUAAGGCAAGGAUGAUCAAUAGAAAAAUCUAUAAAUAGUUUUGCAACAUGGAAGAUGAAAACAACAACAGCAGAUCUAUAUUUCUAGGACUCAUUUUGCUGUUGGUGCCUUCGAUAGUAAAGAUUUACCAGGAGUAUCAAAUUGGAAA
Aegilops tauschii subsp. strangulata is the source of this 2941-nucleotide RNA transcript. RefSeq lists it as uncharacterized. NCBI's taxonomy places the organism in Eukaryota, Viridiplantae, Streptophyta, Magnoliopsida, Poales, Poaceae. The record is from RefSeq and is a predicted model, not a curated record.